UGCUCACAAAGUAGGUUUGUUUGUUUGUUUGUUUGUUUGUUUGGGGCCCUGGGGUUUGAACCCAGAGGCACUUAACCACUGAGCCACAUUCCUAGCACUUUUUUUAAUAUUUGAUUUUAAGUUCGAGUCUCACUAAGUUGCUUUUUGAACUUUCAAUUCUGCUGCCUCAGCUUCCUGAGCUACUAGGAUUAUAGGUUUGCACCACCACACCUGACCAGAGUAGCUUUAUUUUUUAAGCAUUAGUACCAUAUCUUUCUUCUCUCUCACACUCAGUAUGCAUGAUUAGGAUUGACCCCUACCAUCACUAUCCCCUUUGUCAUAAAGAAUUAUCAAAGAAACUGCCCCCAAAGUUUGGGGCUUAGUAGACUGUAGAUUUGCUUAUUUGUAUUUGCUCACAUUAUUCUCUUAGAUGAUAAGUUCUGUGGAAGAGUAUCAUGCCUAUUUUGUAAUAUGUCUAGAAACACUUCUGCUGUCUGCCUUCUUCUUGAAUAUGGGGUAUUUUAACUUAGGGUUUAUUUUUAGCCUAUAAGAUAAUGUUCAGGAAAGUGAGGUUUAAAUUUUUCCUUUUGACAGGGGAUCAUUGAACUAACUAGGAGAACUGCCAGUAUUCUUGGAAUUUUUCUUAAAAGAGCCUCACAAGUUCAGAAAGUUUAAAGAUCUAUCAGGUCUUCCUACAGUUCCUUAAAAUUUAUUUUAGAAAAAUUUACCAAACGUGAUGAAGAGGUUUAGGAAAAUCUCGCCGUCUGCUAUUGUAUAGGUUAGAACUUACAGGGAAAAAGGAGGAGGAGACCUGGGCUCUAUAGGGACAUAGGCCAGAAAAGGAUGCUGUGCAUAUCUCCGAGAUGAUCCUAAAGGAAAUGUGACCUUCAACAUUCAUAGGAAUUUCAGCCCCAAGAAUACAGGGGCAGGGAGAAGGAGUCUCAAUCCAUUUUGCUCUUUUACUGUCUGUAACCAUGUGUAUCUGUAACAUCAUUCAUGAUCUCCUUUUAAUGGUAAUUGUCUAAGAUUAUACUCUGUAUGACUUUGUUUUCUAGGCUUCGGGAGCAAGUUCUGCUUGAACCUAGCCGACGGUUAUGGAACCCAUUGACAUUCCAAAACAAUAUAUACACAUAACUAUGUAUUUGUGUGUGUGGGUGUGUGUAUAUAUGUAUAUGUAUGUGUGUAUAUAUAUGUAUAUGUAUAUACACACACACACAUAAUCAGCCAAAAUCAGAGAAAAGGAACAGGGAUUUAAUACCUUUUUUAUGCUUAUUUUUGUCAAACAUGUACUCCUUUCAUACGGGUGGCUUUUACAAGGCAACUUCCGUCAUUUAAUGUUUUCAAUUGUAAUUGUCUUAAUGGAAAUGUUAGAUUCAUAUCUGAUUAACAUUUUUAAUAACUUAGAGGAGAUUUUAACUUUAGUCACUUAAAUUAGAUAAAAUUAUUGUACCAAAUUCUUGUCUAAAGUUUAUUCAGGGGUGAUUUCCCUGACGUGUGUAUAAAAUAAAGAUCUUAUUUUACUGAGGCGUGAGUCCUAGUGCCUAGGACUCAUGUGCUUUCAGAUAAAUAAGCAAUUUCUGCAAUCAGUUUUCCCCAAUCAAAGAAGCCAUGUCAUUUUACUUUUAGAAACAUAACAGGUGGACCCAUUAUGGGAAUUUUCAUAAUAGCUCAUACAUUUGUCAGCCAACAUUAAAAAGUAACCAACUCCUCAGGUAUUUGUAGUUUACCCUAAUGCUUCUAUAAAAGAAAGUAGGAAAAAAGAAAAGGGUAGAUAAUCUUUCUUAUGCAAACUCUUUUCUUACAUUUUGUCUUUUUUUUUUUCCCACAUUUUAGUAACAUCCUCCACACAUUUGUGUGCCUGAUUUGAAAGGAAGCUGGGGCACCCAGCAAGUUUAGCCUUUAAUUUUAUAUGUAUUGAUUUGUAGAUUAACGAAUGCUGGGAGGAAUAAAAAAGGGAUAGAAACCCGGAACAUAAAGCAUUGAAAAUUCCAGUGCUUGGGCUUCUGCUUCAGAGGAAACAGUGGCUUAGGGUUAAACGGCCAUUUUAUUCAAAUGCUUGCUAUAAAAUCUGAAAAAACACUGGCAGGUGCUCCUCUCCUUGGCAAUCCAUUGCGUAUCCAGAGUUCUACAAUGUUUAACUAAAGAAUUGGUUAAUAUUUUGAUCCUCAAGUGUGAAUGUUCUUUAUGUUUGGGAGUGGGCUUGGGGUUUGGGGUUUUUUUUUUUUAAUUCCUGAAGCUUACCAGAUAUGAAUGGCUAAUAUUCCAUUGUUCUGCUUAUUGUAAUGGUGAAUGCUUUAAGAAAAAAAAGUGUAAUUUGCUAAGAAUAAUUCAUGAUCUGUUUAUGCGAUAACUCCUUUUUGUUACAAUUUUUUUAAAAAAGGCUAUUUUUGUUAAUGUAAAGUAAAUAUUUCAGAGCAAAUUUUUUAAACUUAUUGCACUAAAUACAGGCUCUGUACAAAAAAACAAAAACAAAAAAAAAAAAGCCUCAGCAUUUUAUCAUUCCAUGGAAGGAGAAUCUUUUGAAAGAAAGCAUUGCCUCCUAUCAGAAUUAGACAGCGAAGUAGACUGGUAUUAUGGAAAUGCAUACAAUUAAUGUCACUAGGGCUUAAUAAACAGCUGUUUGCUAAUGUGCUUCCUUUCAAAGGGUUGGACCUUUAAAUUGCUGCAAAAGGUAAAUUGUAUUUUUUUUUAAGUAUCUGUGUUCUUUAUCUAGCUAGGCUAAAAUUUGCUAAAUGCCUUGGUUUCUUUUUCAAAGCUCAUGUAACAUUUCUGAUUUUUCAGAAUAUUUGCAAUAAGAAUCUGGAUUUUAAAAAAAACAACUUAUACACACAAUUAAGAGUUCAUGUCUUAGCAAGAUCUGGGAAACCAACAUUAUGAGCGUAGCUAUUUUGAAAAAGUAAUUCUCCAGAAGUUAACAUUUAACAUCUAGUGUCGCCAAACAGUGUCACUGUACUCUUUUAUAUCAUUUGAAAUGGAAUAAAUAUAAUUAUGUAACUAACAACUGUCCAAAUAGGUGAGAGAGCAAAUCAUGUAAGAAAAUUCAGAAUACUGUCUGUUCCAUAGCCACACAGAUUUUGGACAUUCAGAAAAUUGGGAAAUAAAUUUAGAGUUGGCAAAAGUCUGGAAGAUGGGUAUCAAAACGGAAGACAUUUCGGGAGCUAGCUAUUUUCAGAGGUCUUCCUCCAAAGUGACCUGACAGAAGUCUUGAACUUGGAAACUAGGUUCUACUCACUUGGACAUCCCUGCAUCAUGGACUUUUGCUGCCCCCUGUUUCAUGUGCUCCCAAUAUCAGCUAUUUGGAAGCCACCAGGAAUGCUUUCUAAUUAUCAUUUGCAACUAGAACUGUAAUCAGAAAGAAAUUUUGUAUUUUUGUAUAACUUGAUUGUGUGCCAUUUUAUAUAACAGGUCCUGUUUUACAAAUAAAUUUUGUUAUUACUAACAUUGUGUUUAGAAAUUAUGAUCUAUGUGUAACCAUGUCCUUUGAGUUCCAAAUUAAUUUCUAGGCUGUUUUCCCUAAGUAAAUUUGUGUGCCAUAUAAAUAUAUGCAAAUGUGCAUAUAUAUUACACAGGCACACAUAGAGAGAUAUUUGAUAUAUCUCUCACUCUCACAUGUGCUUCAUUCCUUGAUUAAUUUGAUAAAGCCUCCUAGAGGCUUUUCAGCAAUAUUCAAAUGUUUUGCAGUUAUGUUCAGAUAUUUCUGCUGCCUCCUUCAUUCAUUGCAAAUCAUUCUUCAGCUAGCUGUGGGCUGCCUUAUUGCUAUUUGCUCACUGCCUCCAUCUUCUGCCCAAGUGAGAAGAAUAGAUGAAGAUCAGAAAUUAUCUGUGAAAUGUGGAUACCUGAAAAAUUUUAUAAACCAUUGAUUCUAUGUUGUGGUUCAUGUCCUUUUCUGUGAUGGUUCUACAAAACGGUCUAUAGGAGUCCUAUCUCUAGAGUUCUAGUUAGGGUCCCCUAUUGUAAAUGGUAGUACUGUCCAGAGUGUCACUGUGGUUUCUACCAUCAGAUAGUUAAUACUCUGGCAUAUAGUUUAGACCUUCUAGAUUACUUCCUCAAAAAUAAACUAUGCUGUAAUAUAAUAGGGAAGGUAAAAGGUUCAAUUUCAGUGUAAGUCCAAGAAACCCAUCUUCAAUUGGAGGCUUUACCAGUGCAAUAAUUAAAAAAAAAAAGUAAUUUAACAAGGACACUGAGAUUGUAUAAUCUUUGCAUGAAUGAACAGAGUUCAAAGUAGAUUGUUGAUCUAAACCACUUAGUGCAAUUGUUAAUGUUUAAGAUUAAAGUUUUUAUCCUGUCAUACAGGAUAAUUAAGUCCUACGUCACUGGAACUUAAGUAGCUUAACUGUGUGUUGGUCCUAAACUUUUUCCAUAAUGGUUAAGGAGGGGGGACUUAUUGAGUCUAUUUAAAAAUUAUGCUGGAAAUAUGUUUCUUCUUUACAGAAAUGAUCUCUUACUCUUUUCUUCUCCCCCCAUCCCUCCAGUGAAGGGCUUUAAGCCCCUGAUUAUAAGUUCUUCCAACACCAUUGACCUUGGUAUCUGCCAAGGGCUCUCUUGCCUUCCCAAGGCAAUUUCAGAAUUUAACCCAGUAGUAAGCGAUGAGGAGCUAACCCCUUUAUCCUGUUCCUGAGCUCCUUUAACACAGAAUAAUACCUCUCUUUCCCUCUUACUAAAACAACCACAGGAAUUGCGUGCCCCAGAUAUUUGCAAGGCCAUAUAGUACCCCUGAGCCUUCAAACAUUUCCACCAUGCAGACUCACUCACUACUUACUAAAGGCUACUUCAAGAGGUUUCCUAACAUGCAAAGUAGUAUUGUGGGAUUAGUUCCAAAACCAGAGCUGUCAGUUACAGUGAUUGAACAAUUUAUUUUAUGUUGCUUUUGUUCAGAAACCUUAUCAUUUGAAUUGGAGUUUCCAAUAGCCUUAACAUAGCCUCUAAGAAGUUUCCUUCAAAAAAUGUUCACUUCUCAAUAAGUAAGUUUGCUAUCGCUUUCUUUGGCUACUUUGAAAAGAAAAAAAAAAUCUUCAGAGUCUGGAAGCUUAUCAGUGCACCUGACAUGGUUAAUAUUUGUAUUCUUUUUAUGUAUUUCAUCUGACAGAUAGAAAUGCUUACUGAGAGUUAAGAUGUGGUCUGUGAAUAUAUAUUGGAGAAUUGUGGGUUCAUAAGUAAUGCAUAAAGCAGAAAUUUGUGUAUGCUAUAUUCAUAGCACAGAAUCCUUUUGCUUUAAAUGUAUAUUCAUAUAGCUCUGUGUACUAAGAAAUGCGUGUUAGCCCUUUGGAAAAAUAGGCAUUGUUCAUAAACAGUGACUGUUUUGGGAAUUAACUCAUCUUUGUUGAGUGGCACGCCUAAACUUUGAAAAAGCAGAAACCUUGGGUGUAUCAAGAGGAAGUUUAAAGCUAGAAAUCUUUAAAAACAAAACAGAAACUAAUCAUAUUUUAUAUACUAAUAAAUUUAAAAUAGCACACUUUUCCCAUUCAGAUUUCACAAAUUUUAGCCAAAUUAUUAUAUUCCACAUUUUAAUUCAAGAAGACAAUUUUAACCCAAGAUUUAAAUCUUUGAAAAUAUCUUUCUUAUAAAAAAACUUCAAUGUGAAGUUUUUAACAUUGUGAAUUUCUGUAUAAAGCCAUUCUUUUCUAUAAAAAUACUAUAGAGCCCUUUCUUCCUCCCCCUCUUGAUUUUUAUAUGUAUAAAAAUAGACAAAUGAUGAUUCAGUUUCAAUUUUAUGUGAACAACUGCCACUUUUGUAAAUUACAUGGACAGAAUUUAAGUUUGGUAUUUCUAAGGGAAUUCAUUAGAAAAUUUGCUUAAAAGAUAUGAAAUUGUUAGGAACCCAACUAUUAGGCUAUUCUUCAGUUUUGAUGCUUUACAACCUAAAUUAUUUUCUCCAGACCAGAGAACUCAGAAUAAUGAAGCUUUUAGUUGUGUUCUAAUCAAGAUCCAGUCGAACACAUAAAUAUUAAUUUAUAAAUGUUCAGAAUUUUUCCACUUAUAAUUGCUAAGACCUGAAUUCAAUAUUUAAUAUUCAAAAGCAGGUACAUUUGAGGGGCCAUUUGUCCCUUCCAACUUAUGAAAGCUGUGGACUAUCUUUCUCUUAAAUGCACAUAGCACAUCUGUUUUAAAUAUUUUAAAUGCUCAUGAAGCGGCUAGGUGUCCACUAAAGAUCCUUUUAAGAUGAUACUUUUCAUCUCUGGUCUGGAAUCUUUUUAUAACUUAAGAUUUUGUAUAAUUUAAUACCAGAUUUGGAUAGAGAAACUACCCUGAUCUGAAUGAAUAACAAGAUGGUCAACACUGAAUUUUCACAAAUAGUAAGAUGUCUUGCCUUAGACGUGUGAGGGUCUGUGUGUUCUGGGGGUCUUUUUGCAAGAUACCAAAUUUUCAAUGAACAACAAUAGAAAAAAAAAUCCAAGAAGUAAUUAAUAGAAAAUCUUCGUAAUUAUCCAUCUACUUAAACACUUGCUUGUUUUUAUUGUAGCUCAUAUAUGACAUUAUGCGAUAUAGUGUCAUCAGUAUAUCACUGUCUUAAAAUAUAUCUUUAAGUAUCACCCAGAAUAGUUGAAGAUGAUGAAAAAUUAGCAAACUCAAGUGUAUGGAGUACAUACUUGCCAAAAAUUAUGAAUGGAAAAUUGGAGUAGAUGCUGGGAGUAGAAAUUUAAAAUGUGUUUCCCCAGCUUCUCCCACCCCAACUUAAAUCAAGGAGGUGUUUACCCUUUUUUGAUUAUCUUCUCUUUAGAGCAGCCUUGAACCACUGUGCCAGUGGGGCUGGGCCUCCACUCCCCAUGUCCACUCAUCUUCCUUCUCCAGGGAAGCUUGUGGAACUCUCCACAUCCACAACUUACCACUAGGUGAGUGUGCUGCAGCUACAAGGCAGCUCUUCGGGAAGGGCCCUUGAAUGAAGAAGGCAGGAAGCCUUAAGGGAGUUUGAAGUUCUGUUGAGAUCUGAUUCCAGUGGAUCAUGGUUUACAUAUUAGACAUCAGACCACUCCCUACCUUCUUAGGCGGAAGAAAGCAGAGAAAAUUUCCUAACUGGCUGGUUAAAGAAAAAGGAGAAAAUUCAGCUUCCUGUCCCCUACACCUCUAAAAAAGAUGUAAUGAACUUUCAACAACAGCAAAUGGAGAGAUACCACUGGUACAAGUUUCUGUAUGAGACAGAAAAGGGCCAAUGUCCAGCCUAAAUUUGAUAGGUCCUUUUGUCAUAGACAGGUAUGACUUUUAAAGAGAGUAUUCUGACCUUUGUGUAUGAGCCUUAUCCCCAUCCUGCUAGCUGGAGAUGUAGUUUGAUUCAGUUGUUGCUCAAGAACUAUGUGUUAAAUCACUCCAUGUGAGUUAAGAUCAACAUUGAAAAGACUUAGAAUAAAUGGGCAGAUAGAAGGGGUGCCACUAAAAAAAAAAUGUAAGGGACUUCUUUAUUUAUUAUGCUGAUAAUCAUGUCAGGACUUUUUCAUAAAUUGUGUUAGAAUGUGACAAUAAUAGAAUAGCUUUGAAGACUAGUGGUUUGAGAUGGGGACUAUUAUGUAAAUUUCCCCUACCUUGGUACCUGUAUUCUAUGCUCAGAACUUCUUUUUGACCCCUCUUGGUUUUACUAGUUUUGAUUUUUGGAGGUAAAUCAUGUAGGGAAUGUUCUCUUUUUUUCUGCUGGGUUGUCCUAGUAGUACUAGAUUCUGAUGUUUCCUAAUUUCUUUCUUCCCUUACAAGAGUACUGGGAGUUCCAUAACGAAAAGGAGUUUCAAUUUUUACUGUCAGAAUAUUCAUGACUACUUAAUACUCUUCUAAUAGAUCUUGUACCUAAUGAAGUAAAUUCAAGUAGAUUAUUAGCUGAUCUCAUUACAGGAGGAAAAAAACCUUCCUACUAACAAAGGUGAAAGCAAGUAGAAAAGUGUCCAGAGUAUCUAACAGGAUGGCAGGGGCUCAGGAAAAACAACCAAAGACAAAAAAAGCCUUUCUUCUAAAGACCAAAGGCCCAGCUUCCACAUGCUGGUUUGGCAUAGCCUUUCCAAACUUAACUUUAGGACAGAACUCUUAGGAUAAGGCAACCAAAUUUUAAAGACCAGUCAAUAUAAUGGGGACCUGCUACUGCUCUCUCAGGCACUGUGUUUUCACAUCCAGUGUCAAACCUGGCCCAUUGUAUGGGGUAAUAUAAACAGAAAAUGGCACAUCGAGCUCUCCUGAUGUGUAAUCCAGCAUGAGAAGUACAUUGUGGUGCCACAUAUUCCUGAUGCCCUUUUGUUCAUUUGCCCCCCAUCUGCAUCCUAUUUCAGAAUGUCAUAAAUCUUCAUGUCAUGUCCUGUCUUUGUCCAUUACAAACUGGAGGACUGCAGCUAAGCCUUCCAUAAAGUCCACAGUGUGGGAUCAUUUACCUUAGGAUUAUGUGGAUUUUUUUUUCCUUGUUACAGUGUCACUACACUGUAUGCAUGUGGGGAAACAACCAUGUAGGUGCUUGAACAUGCCCCCCACACAGUCAUAGCCCUGGUGUUUGUGACUGUCGUCGUCGACACAGUGCAACUCUACAGAUGGAGCAUUAUGCUCUCAGAGGACUUAAAAAUAUGUAUAUUAAGCAAUUAACUUUCUGGAGUUAUCAAAUCUUGCUGGGAAAUUAACUUCUAAGAGCUCUGAAUUGGAUGGCGUUCCAUCUGGCUUCAGAGUACGAUGAGCUUAUAUGAAAUGGAGCUUUGAAAUGUUUUUCUUGUGCAGAAAUAUGAACUAGAAAAAAAAAGUGCUGAUUUAAUGCUAAGUUUUCUCUGUGUACUGACUCAGUUGCCAGAAUUAUAAUGAAAACUGUAUUUUAGUCUAACAAAUGUAUAGAAUUUUUUAUGUAAUAAAUAAAAUUUUAUAGGAAAGAAUGUCA
This 8809-nucleotide long non-coding RNA is filed under the name Marmota monax (woodchuck). The record is from RNAcentral. Lineage: Eukaryota; Metazoa; Chordata; Mammalia; Rodentia; Sciuridae.